GGUUUCCUUGGCUCCUUCCCAUCCGGCGCGUGCAACAAGGUGGUUCUUUUUCUUGGCGAUUAUAUGCUAAUUUUUAUUUGCUAGUAAAUUUGUGCUACAUCCUAAUUUUACUAUCAAGUAGAUCUAUGUUGCAUCUCUUGUUCUAUUUUUUGUUCAUGUCAAAUCUUCUCAGUGAACGAUGCAUAAUAACUUCGAUUUGAUGAUGUAUUGCUACUGUGCUAGGCAUUUUGGUACUCUAAUUUGGAAGUUUUAUUUCAGUCAUACAUAAUCUGGAGAAUCAAGUUCGAAGAUUGAGUCUGGUCAGAUAACUUCGGCAUCUUGCAGUUUAGAACAAUUCACUAAAAGUUUUAAUACUUGCAGUUCUGUAUUACAAAAUCAAUAGCAAAAAAUAAAAUGAAAUUGUGCAUUUAUCAGCAUAUCAAAAUCCUAAUUCAUUGCUAAAAUUGCUCCAGUUUAACAGAGAAUAAUAAUGAGUGUCCUAGUAUAUAUGAAUUAUGAUUACCAAAGAAGGUGGCAUCGAGGGUCGGCAAAUUGUGCAUCGAAUACUAAGAGUCAACAAUUGGAAGUGUCCUAGUAUAUAUGCUGACACACAGACUGUUGCCAUAGGUGGUGGGCUCCUCUGCUCCUUCCAAACCGACCUGUGUGACGUGGUGCAAACCUACAAGGCGUCACCAUGGUGGUUAAUUUCCCUGGUAAAUAGAUGUUAUUUGAUUUAGCUAGUACAUUUGUGCUUGAUCUCAAUUUUUAUUAGCUAGUUGAUUUAUGCCGCAUCUCUAUAGUUCUAUUUUCUUGUACUUGUUCAUGUCAAACCUGCUCAUGUGUGAAUGAUGCAUAUUAGUAACUUCAUUUGAUUAUGUAUUGCUACUGUUUGUGGUGGUUUAAAAGUAUAUUUUGGUUUUCUGUUUCACUGUUAAGUACUCUGGAGAACCAAGCACAACCAUUUGUUUCAUUGUUACUGCAUUUCACAUUUUUCCUACAGCUUUGAGAUGUUAUUAUGAGUUGUGAGCCACCAGAAAAGCAAGGUUCUCGUUUGUUGUUUGAAAUAUAAAUGGUAUCAGGCUACAUGAGUCAUGUCAAUUGAUUUCUUGUUGUUAGUCUUUAAUGUCGGUUUUCACUAAGAAAGAUUGAUCGUCAUAGAUCCUAUAACUCAUGAAAAAUUGUUGACAACAAGUAUACUGAUG
This 1181-nucleotide long non-coding RNA is filed under the name Triticum aestivum (bread wheat). RNAcentral's name for it is "long non-coding RNA (TAES_LNC022061)". The record is from RNAcentral. Lineage: Eukaryota; Viridiplantae; Streptophyta; Magnoliopsida; Poales; Poaceae.